AGCCAGUGCCUGCGCGGCUUGCUCCAGCAAGGUAAAAUUUCCCACUGCGAGGCAGGCAGUGAUGCUGCGGCCGCUUCGCACUGUGGCUCCUGCCGACCGCCAGGCGCUGUUACAGUGGAUGCGAACUAACCAUGCAGCAGCAGCCGGAACCCACAGUUCACCUUGGUGCAUUCCUUUAUGAUGAAGACUUAUUGAUUCAUUAUAUGAGAAAGGAAAAAUGAGCAGAAACUACUGUAUGAUGUGCAGCUCACACCAGACAGCAACUUUAGGGUUAUCUUUCCAGUUCAGCAGUGCAACUCUAUGGAGUAGAAUUGAAAGGAGACUUUUCGCCAAUUGCAGGAAAUGGUCAUAAAAAAAUACCUGCUCACUGACAGAAUAAAGUCUCACUCUGUCACCUGGCUGGAGUUUAGUGACACGAUCUUAGCUCCCUGCAACCUCUGCCUCCUGAGUUCAAGUGAUUCUCCUACCUCAGCCUCCUGAGUAGCUGGAAUUACAGAGUAAUUUAUCCCUACUUACAGAGAGAUUGCCCUACGUGUAACAGCUGCAUACAAAAAAGUUAUAAAAUUAUCAUUGGUUUAACAAGGAUAAGUGAAAAACAUUAAAAUUCUCCAACUGAACAAGGUGUGUCUGUUUCAUUGAUUGGCUGACUGUCAAAUCGGAAUCUGAUCUGCCCCAUUGACAAUGCCUUGGGCUUUUCCUCGGCCAUGGCAAAUGCCAGAGUCUUCUCAGCUGCCGCUUCACAAAAGAGGUACCAGCUUCUCACUGAACGAACACAGUGCAGCACCAGGAGUGACAGAAGAAGGAGGCGGCAGCGGUGGUUGAGGGACAGGGUGCGUGCACGUCCAAGUACAGUUCUUAAAAUGUUGAGGGCAUACAACAUAUGCUCAAUAAAUACCUGAUUUUUAAAAAAGA
This is a long non-coding RNA of Homo sapiens (human), 912 nucleotides long. The record is from Ensembl. Lineage: Eukaryota; Metazoa; Chordata; Mammalia; Primates; Hominidae.